UAAAGCGCGCGCAGGUGGUUUAAUAAGUCUGAUGUGAAAGCCCACGGCUCAACCGUGGAGGGUCAUUGGAAACUGUUAAACUUGAGUGCAGGAGAGAAAAGUGGAAUUCCUAGUGUAGCGGUGAAAUGCGUAGAGAUUAGGAGGAACACCAGUGGCGAAGGCGGCUUUUUGGCCUGUAACUGACACUGAGGCGCGAAAGCGUGGGGAGCAAACAGGAUUAGAUACCCUGGUAGUCCACACCGUAAACGUUGGGCGCUAGGUGUGGGACCUAUUCCAUGGGUUCCGUGCCGUAGCUAACGCAUUAAGCGCCCCGCCUGGGGAGUACGGCCGC
This 331-nucleotide ribosomal RNA is filed under the name Anophryoides haemophila. RNAcentral describes it as "partial Bacterial small subunit ribosomal RNA". It matches the Rfam family "Bacterial small subunit ribosomal RNA", at positions 561 to 889 of the family's 1533-position model. Lineage: Eukaryota; Ciliophora; Oligohymenophorea; Philasterida; Glauconematidae. The record is from RNAcentral.